Molecule: ribosomal RNA, 93 nt
Filed under: Ampelomyces sp.
Lineage: Eukaryota; Fungi; Ascomycota; Dothideomycetes; Pleosporales; Phaeosphaeriaceae
Description: partial 5.8S ribosomal RNA
Rfam family: 5.8S ribosomal RNA
About the family: 5.8S ribosomal RNA (5.8S rRNA) is a component of the large subunit of the eukaryotic ribosome.
Source: RNAcentral
GUAGUGUGAAUUGCAGAAUUCAGUGAAUCAUCGAAUUUUUGAACGCAUAUUGCGCCCCUUGGUAUUCCAUGGGGCAUGCCUGUUCGAGCGUCA